GUAUUAUAGAUGAUAAACUUCAAAUGGAAAUACAAAAUCUUUUUCUUGCUAAACUUUUUUCGUUAAAAGAAAAUCAUGAAUUGAAACUUUUUGUGAUUAUUUUUUAUAUUACCUUUUACUACCUCUAUCCAUUUUUGUCUCUCUCAUUUGAGUUUUGCAAGGUAAUUAAUAAAAUAAUUAGAUAACCUCAUUUUUAUAAGAACAAACUAAUAAUUAACUAAAUUAUCCUUCAUCUCACCUAAUUACUUCUUUUAUAA
This 257-nucleotide unclassified non-coding RNA is filed under the name Hevea brasiliensis (rubber tree). The record is from RNAcentral. Lineage: Eukaryota; Viridiplantae; Streptophyta; Magnoliopsida; Malpighiales; Euphorbiaceae.